AUGUGCCACCGCACCACUGUCUUCCAGGAAGUGAACGAGCAAAGUGUACUCUUUGGUGUUAGGAUGAAGAGAGUGAGGGAGAAGGGUAUUCCUGCACAACCGGAGGCUGCAGUUUCAGGACUGAAGUUCUUGGACCGCAGUUUUAGGACCCUCGUUUUUUUGUGACCGCGCCACCUACCGUACUGGAUCAACACUAAUUAAAGAUGGACGACGUGGACAGCAAUCAGACGGUGAGUACCGAUAUUUAAUUAAGUUUUAUUUUAUAACGUUUAAGCGGUGCGAAGUUUACAUACUGAGAACUGCUAACUGUGAAUUAAUAAUUAAUUCCCACCAAAUUAAGAAUUUGUGAGCUAGUUUUUACUACGACGUUAAUUCGUGGCCAUGAUUUCAUAAAUCCAUGUUGAGUUUUAGUGACGAAGUAUUAUAAGUGAAUCUACCCAGCACAUUAAUUAAACUUAUCCGAUGACAAGAGCAUGGUUGAUGUAUGGUUUGUAAGAUUUACCUGCAGCUUAAUGUAUUAGUGUGAAUACUGGCUUAGUCGUUGUUACCAUAUUUAUGUAUAAAAUAUCUUUCAUAAUUGAACUGCACUGACUGAUGUGUUAGCCUGUUGUUUUGGCAUUGUUUUGCAAUGAUGAAUGAGGCAUUUGGCAGUUUUAAUAGCUUGUUACAAUUUGGCCUAAUCUGCAGGCCUACUCCACACACAGUCCAUUGUUAUCAUGUGUUAGUUUCUGUCAUGUUCUGCAUGGCCAAUAUGAAGUGAUUUUAUGGAUUUGGUUAGGCCCAUUGUAGGACAGAUGAUUAUAAAA
Molecule: long non-coding RNA, 806 nt
Filed under: Carassius auratus (goldfish)
Lineage: Eukaryota; Metazoa; Chordata; Actinopteri; Cypriniformes; Cyprinidae
Description: lncRNA (ENSCARG00000049522.1)
Source: RNAcentral